This 149-nucleotide ribosomal RNA is filed under the name uncultured eukaryote. Its description in RNAcentral is "partial 18S ribosomal RNA". It matches the Rfam family "Eukaryotic small subunit ribosomal RNA", at positions 1299 to 1458 of the family's 1831-position model. The record is from RNAcentral.
UAGUGGAGCGAUUUGUCUGGUCAAUUCCGAUAACAAACGAGACUAACCUACUAAAUAGCCUACUAAAUAGUUCGGGGACCCCCACAAAGGGGCCCGCUUAAACUUAGAGGGACAGGUGGCGUUUAGCCACACGAGAUUUAGUAUCAACA